CGGGGUAUAGCUCAGCCUGGUAGAGCGCGUGCUUCGGGAGCCCGAGGUCGCAGGUUCAAAUCCUGCUACCCCGACCA
RNAcentral lists this transfer RNA (77 nucleotides) under Thiotrichales bacterium. Its description in RNAcentral is "tRNA-Pro". It matches the Rfam family "tRNA". Rfam says of the family: Transfer RNA (tRNA) molecules are approximately 80 nucleotides in length. Lineage: Bacteria; Pseudomonadati; Pseudomonadota; Gammaproteobacteria; Thiotrichales. The record is from RNAcentral.